Long non-coding RNA from Passer montanus (Eurasian tree sparrow), 1417 nucleotides. RefSeq lists it as uncharacterized. NCBI's taxonomy places the organism in Eukaryota, Metazoa, Chordata, Aves, Passeriformes, Passeridae. The record is from RefSeq and is a predicted model, not a curated record. The transcript has 4 exons.
UCCGGAAGCAUGAGGGGAGGGAGCAAAACUGACUUUCUGUCCUAGGUGCUCUAGGAAAGUCAAGGAAAUGGGAAAAAGGGUGCACUCAGCAGCUAGAGGGCAGGCUCAUUUUUCCUUUAAACCUUGGAAAUCACUUCCUUGCAGCUGCAAUGACUGCCAGAGUACCCAAAAGAAGUGGCUAAGAGAAAAGGAUUGUGAAGCAAGCUAAGAAGUCUCUGCAGAGUAUGGUCUCAGGGCUGCGCUGCUGGAACGCUGCUUCUGGAGUUGUCCUGUGGCUCAGUCCUGCUGUGUUACGAUGACAUUUUAUCUUCCUGGUAGGUUUUACCUACCAGGUAAGUUUUCUUCUAGUGUAUCCUGGACAGCAUGCACAGAUGGACACACAGUACAGGUGGACGCACAGCCCUUCACAAAGAACUUUACAAAUAUCUCACCCCACCUGGGUCUGUUCUUAAGCCUGAUCCCACUAGCCCUCAGCAACUCAAGCUGUUUCUUCUUUGCACUAUUGAGAUUUAAAAAAAAAAAAAAGAAAGAAAAAAAGAAAACUUUCAGCAGUUUGGUUCUGACACUGAAGUUUGACAUCUCCGUGUCAACCUUUAUAUUAUGUGUGUUCCCCUGCAUGCUGCUCAGACACACAGUUUGCAAAGCUGGGCCUGUCCAAAUAGACCAGUCCUUGAUCCCCACUAUUCAAGGAUGCAUUUUGGCAGCAGGACGUUACAUCUGUGGAUCUCAACCACCUUUUCAGAAUCCAUCCUCCUGUUUGUAUUCCUUAGCACAUCUGCUCCUCUUGCUCAUAUUCAGUGGGGAGGGGAAGCUGGCAUGUGAAGACAGAUGCUGGAAGAAGAGCAGACCUUCCCCAGUGCAAAGCCUCAGGAUUGUUGGAGACGUUGCCUAACAGAGCUUUUGUUAACUGUUGGGAAGGAGGAGCCUCAGAGGUCAUUCAGCUGCAUCUGGUGAGCAUUGUUGGAAGAGUCUCUCCCGUCUGUGCCUUCAGUCUAUUUUUGUGCUGUCUUCAUAUCAUGCCAUCACAACUCAACAUGCAGCUGCACCCUAGACCAUGGACUGGAAUAGGGAACUGAUCUGACUGAAAACCCAGCUGAAAGGAGGAAAAAAGGGGGGAAAAAAAUCUUUUCCAGCCAGCUGAGAGCUCUGAUCUCAUUUACCACACAGCAGCACUAACAGCUGUAGCACCACCAGGGGGGUAACCUCUUCCCACAGCUGUGGUGGCUGCUGCCAACUCUUCCUCAGGCAGCAACCCAAGCCUUUGCCCUAUGGACCUGCUCCUUAGGAAUUGAGUUUUCUCAUUUCAUUCCCACUGCUAAAGCAAUUCUAGCUUGUGAGGACAGGCAGUAACACAUGGAUACCCAACAUGGGAUUUCAAGAAGUCUGGUUAGAAAACUCACUUGGGAAAGGAUCUGCA